Molecule: non-coding RNA, 804 nt
Organism: Seriola aureovittata
Lineage: Eukaryota; Metazoa; Chordata; Actinopteri; Carangiformes; Carangidae
Source: the annotation of a RefSeq genome assembly
GUGCAGCAUCAGAGGUCACAUCUCCAGACUCAGGAUGAUGAACACACUCACUCUUCUGCUGGUUGCUCUCUCUCUGUCCUGUUGUACAGGUCAGAGUAUGGAGUCCAUUCCUUCCAGUUCAGUAGUGAAGAGGCCUGGGGAGACUCUCAGUCUCUCCUGCAGAGGAUCUGGCUUCACAUUUAGCUGUUGCACUAUGAACUGGAUCAGACAACCUGCGGGAAAAGCACUGGAGUGGAUAGGAGUUGGCUUCUCUUCUGCCAGUAGAAACACUUAUGCCAGCAGUGUGAGAGGACGUGCAGAAAUCAGUAGAGAUGACAGCAACAGCAUGGUGCAUCUGAGACUGUCCAACUUGAAGCCAGAGGACUCUGCUGUGUAUUACUGUGCCAAAGAAACACACUGGUUAAAGUGAGCAGAGAGGCUGUACAAAAACUCUCCAGAAAUGUGUGACAGAGACCUGCAGGGGGCAGUAAAACAUAUUAAUUGGGAUAACAACAACCAAAAGAUCAGGACAAUGACAAUAAAUAUGCACAGGAGCAGCUGCUGUUACAGUUUGUCACUUCCUGCUGAAUUCUUUUUUCUCAACAAUAAUAGUUACUAAACUUUUCAAUAAUGAUUUUUACAGCAGUUGUCCAAUUAACCACCAGCAACAUGACGUUCGUGUGAUCAGUUUUUUAAAAUGGUGAAUUUUAACAUGUUUUCAGUGUUUUUUCUGAUUCCGAAGUUUUUGAUUAUCUUAUCUUGCUAUUUAUUAAUUUUAUGCUUUCAAAUGCAGUCAGGGCAAUGGACAAAUUGCACCACUUUUUG